RNAcentral lists this ribosomal RNA (495 nucleotides) under uncultured bacterium. RNAcentral describes it as "partial 16S ribosomal RNA". It matches the Rfam family "Bacterial small subunit ribosomal RNA", at positions 28 to 507 of the family's 1533-position model. The record is from RNAcentral.
GACGAACGCUGGCGGCGUGCCUAAUACAUGCAAGUAGAACGCUGAAGGAGGAGCUUGCUUCUCUGGAUGAGUUGCGAACGGGUGAGUAACGCGUAGGUAACCUGCCUGGUAGCGGGGGAUAACUAUUGGAAACGAUAGCUAAUACCGCAUAAUAGUAGAUGUUGCAUGACAUUUGCUUAAAAGGUGCAAUUGCAUCACUACCAGAUGGACCUGCGUUGUAUUAGCUAGUUGGUGAGGUAACGGCUCACCAAGGCAACGAUACAUAGCCGACCGGAGAGGGUAAUAGGCCAAACUGGGACUGGGACACGGCCCAGACUCCUACGGGAGGCAGCAGUAGGGAAUCUUCGGCAAUGGACGGAAGGCUGACCGAGGAACGCCGCGUGAGUGAAGAAGGUUUUCGGGUCGUAAAGCUCUGUUGUAAGAGAAGAACGAGUGUGAGAGUGGAAAGUUCACACUGUGACGGUAUCUUACCAGAAAGAGACGGCUAACUACGUG